This 738-nucleotide ribosomal RNA is filed under the name Streptomyces sp. 836(2010). RNAcentral's name for it is "bacterial SSU rRNA". It matches the Rfam family "Bacterial small subunit ribosomal RNA", at positions 35 to 790 of the family's 1533-position model. The record is from RNAcentral. Lineage: Bacteria; Bacillati; Actinomycetota; Actinomycetes; Kitasatosporales; Streptomycetaceae.
GCUGGCGGCGUGCUUAACACAUGCAAGUCGAACGAUGAAGCCCUUCGGGGUGGAUUAGUGGCGAACGGGUGAGUAACACGUGGGCAAUCUGCCCUUCACUCUGGGACAAGCCCUGGAAACGGGGUCUAAUACCGGAUAACACCGGCUUCCGCAUGGGAGCUGGUUAAAAGCUCCGGCGGUGAAGGAUGAGCCCGCGGCCUAUCAGCUUGUUGGUGGGGUAAUGGCCUACCAAGGCGACGACGGGUAGCCGGCCUGAGAGGGCGACCGGCCACACUGGGACUGAGACACGGCCCAGACUCCUACGGGAGGCAGCAGUGGGGAAUAUUGCACAAUGGGCGAAAGCCUGAUGCAGCGACGCCGCGUGAGGGAUGACGGCCUUCGGGUUGUAAACCUCUUUCAGCAGGGAAGAAGCGAAAGUGACGGUACCUGCAGAAGAAGCGCCGGCUAACUACGUGCCAGCAGCCGCGGUAAUACGUAGGGCGCAAGCGUUGUCCGGAAUUAUUGGGCGUAAAGAGCUCGUAGGCGGCUUGUCACGUCGGGUGUGAAAGCCCGGGGCUUAACCCCGGGUCUGCAUCCGAUACGGGCAGGCUAGAGUGUGGUAGGGGAGAUCGGAAUUCCUGGUGUAGCGGUGAAAUGCGCAGAUAUCAGGAGGAACACCGGUGGCGAAGGCGGAUCUCUGGGCCAUUACUGACGCUGAGGAGCGAAAGCGUGGGGAGCGAACAGGAUUAGAUACCCUGG